This 424-nucleotide ribosomal RNA is filed under the name uncultured bacterium. RNAcentral's name for it is "partial 16S ribosomal RNA". It matches the Rfam family "Bacterial small subunit ribosomal RNA", at positions 360 to 776 of the family's 1533-position model. The record is from RNAcentral.
AAUUUUGUACAACGGGGGAAACGCUGAUCCAGCCAUCCCGCGUGUAUGAUGAAGGNCUNNGGGUUNUNAAGUACUUUUGGCCGNNNNNAAAGGGCAUCCCCUAACACGGGAUGAGGCAGACGGUAUCUGCAGAAUAAGCCCGGGCUAACUACGUGCCAACAGCCGCGGUAAUACGAAGGGUGCAAGGGUUAAUCGGAAUUACGGGGUGUAAAGCGUGUGUAGGCGGUUCGGAAAGAAAGAUGUGAAAUCCCAGGGCUCAACCUUGGAACUGCAUUUUUAACUGCCGAGCUAGAGUAUGUCAGAGGGGGGUAGAAUUCCACGUGUAGCAGUGAAAUGCGUAGAUAUGUGGAGGAAUACCGAUGGCGAAGGCAGCCCCCUGGGAUAAUACUGACGCUCAGACACGAAAGCGUGGGGAGCAAACAGG